GUCGAACGAGAGAUGAGGAGCUUGCUCUUCAAAUCGAGUGGCGAACGGGUGAGUAACGCGUGAGGAACCUGCCUCAAAGAGGGGGACAACAGUUGGAAACGACUGCUAAUACCGCAUAAGCCCACGGCUCGGCAUCGAGCAGGGGGAAAAGGAGCAAUCCGCUUUGAGAUGGCCUCGCGUCCGAUUAGCUAGUUGGUGAGGUAACGGCCCACCAAGGCGACGAUCGGUAGCCGGACUGAGAGGUUGAACGGCCACAUUGGGACUGAGACACGGCCCAGACUCCUACGGGAGGCAGCAGUGGGGAAUAUUGCACAAUGGGGGAAACCCUGAUGCAGCGACGCCGCGUGGAGGAAGAAGGUCUUCGGAUUGUAAACUCCUGUUGUUGAGGAAGAUAAUGACGGUACUCAACAAGGAAGUGACGGCUAACUACGUGCCAGCAGCCGCGGUAAAACGUAGGUCACAAGCGUUGUCCGGAAUUACUGGGUGUAAAGGGAGCGCAGGCGGGAGAACAAGUUGGAAGUGAAAUCCAUGGGCUCAACCCAUGAACUGCUUUCAAAACUGUUUUUCUUGAGUAGUGCAGAGGUAGGCGGAAUUCCCGGUGUAGCGGUGGAAUGCGUAGAUAUCGGGAGGAACACCAGUGGCGAAGGCGGCCUACUGGGCACCAACUGACGCUGAGGCUCGAAAGUGUGGGUAGCAAACAGGAUUAGAUACCCUGGUAGUCCACACCGUAAACGAUGAUUACUAGGUGUUGGAGGAUUGACCCCUUCAGUGCCGCAGUUAACACAAUAAGUAAUCCACCUGGGGAGUACGACCGCAAGGUUGAAACUCAAAGGAAUUGACGGGGGCCCGCACAAGCAGUGGAGUAUGUGGUUUAAUUCGACGCAACGCGAAGAACCUUACCAAGUCUUGACAUC
Molecule: ribosomal RNA, 914 nt
Filed under: uncultured Oscillospiraceae bacterium
Lineage: Bacteria; Bacillati; Bacillota; Clostridia; Eubacteriales; Oscillospiraceae
Description: bacterial SSU rRNA
Rfam family: Bacterial small subunit ribosomal RNA
Source: RNAcentral